Molecule: long non-coding RNA, 721 nt
Filed under: Salmo salar (Atlantic salmon)
Lineage: Eukaryota; Metazoa; Chordata; Actinopteri; Salmoniformes; Salmonidae
Description: lncRNA (ENSSSAG00000094074.1, ENSSSAG00000094344.1)
Source: RNAcentral
CCUCCUCGUUCCGCUGGACUCCUGAGGCAGAGGCAGCUUUCCUGGAACUCAAGCAUCACUUCACUUCCGCUCUGAUCCUCACUCAGCCAGACCCAGAACUCCAGUUCAUCGUGGAGGUGGAUGCCUCCGACACCGGGUUCUGUCCCCUCUGACUCUGGUCCCUGUCUCCAGUCCCAUGUCUCGUCAGUCCUGCUACCCUGUCCUGGACCCCCCACUCUACUGCUUCCUUGGAUUCCUCUCCGGACCUGCUUACCCAGCCCCAUCUCCCCUCGCUCUAGCCUCAGUACCUGGCUCCCUGCAACCCGACCGAGCUUUCCCUGCCUGCGCCUCAUCUUCACCCUGUUUUUCAAUAAAUACAAUACACCUUAUCCUGGUCUUAUUCUGGUCUGGUCUUGGGUUCACCUGCUCCGCUCCGCAUAACACUAGGAAAGCUGUUCUCAUGGAUAUCAUGGUUCAGAUAGAUGCUAUCAGGUUACAGGUCAUGACAGGUACGCUGUUGUGGAAUGAAACUGUUCCCCCAAUAAAACCUAGAAACUUCCUGCCAUCUCUUAACUUUCCUCUCUGCUCUGCUGUUCAAAGGUCUCAGAGUAAACAUUUUUCAGCAUUAAAGAUGAAGAUCAGGACCACAUGGGGCCUGGCUACGUAGUGGAGCACCGUUCAUGCCAUGCCUCAAUUCUCCCACCCUGCCUCCUCAAAAUCAUCUCCUCUUUCAGACGGCCAG